RNAcentral lists this long non-coding RNA (6627 nucleotides) under Sus scrofa (pig). Its description in RNAcentral is "lncRNA (ENSSSCG00030044153.1)". The record is from RNAcentral. Lineage: Eukaryota; Metazoa; Chordata; Mammalia; Artiodactyla; Suidae.
GGGGCUCAUGUGUAGAAUUCAGAGGAAUCUGUGAACUUGGCUGGGGGAAAAAAAAAUCUCUGUUUAACAUCUUCUUCGAUUACGAAUGUAGGCAGCAAACCGCAGUGUAUUUGCAGUCCCUCCGACAUUGUCAUCAGUAGAAAUCACAGAUAUUUUCAUAUCACAUUUCAGCUGCCAUAGAUAUCUGGACCUAUGAUUUAUGCCCAUCACAGCUUUGAAAUUACAGCAGUUAUUAUACCUGCUGCUAGAGCUUAUUAUUUAAUGUGUUAAUAAGGAACAGAUACUUCUGUAUUACACAUUCAUUUUUUACAAAAAUCAUUAUAUUUCAGUGUAAUUGGUUUUCUUUAUAGUCAUGCUAAGUAUUUUAUUUUAUAUAUUCUAAAACGUUCCGAGAAAGGGUCCCUGGGCUUAAUCAGUCUGCUGAAGGGGUUCAUGGCAUGAAAAGGGUUAACACUCCUGGCCGAAAAUCAGUAAGCUUUAAUUCCCAAUUUCCCACCCUCCCUAACCCUAAUCUUUCAUAUAUCCAUCUAUCUCUGUCUAAUUAGUGCAAGACAUUCUUGAGCAGUAGUAAAUUUCAUUUAAUAGUUUGGCAAAUUUGCAAAAGCACAUAAUUUGUGGUUUGGGUAGAAGGUUUUUAAUAUAUACCAAGAGGUAAAUUUACAAAUUGCAGGCAUACACUGGCAACCAGUUCGGUAAUUUCUAUCAGCCCGCAAACCCACCAGCCCCCGCGUUGACUGCCCAUCCCAUAGAAGCCAGUUCAUUGAAACAGCCACAGAAUGGAGAAUUAAGUUCUUGAGAGGUUAAGGAGCUUGUGUAGGCUAAGUGAUGAAUCACUUGAUCAAAUGCAAGCUCAAAUCCUGGGAAGGAAGAGAAGCAUGGGAGAGAAUAGCUUUGAAGUGGCUUCUGAAAUGGCGGGAAUGCAAAAGAGGCUGAAUGGAGGAGGGAGGGGGUUGGGGAGGAAGUGGCAGGACCAGAUGUUGACUUUGAGGAGGAAGCCUGGAGAGAGGAAACCCUCCCUCCAUCCCAGCAACAUGAGAAUAGUGGUUGGGGCGUUCCCACUGUGGCAAAGCAAAACGAAUCCGACUAGGAACCAUGAGGUUGCAGGUUCAAUCCCUGGCCUCACUCAGUGGGUUAAGGAUCCGGCGUUGCCUUGAGCUGUGGUGUAGGUCGCAGACAUGGCUUGGAUCUGGUGUUCCUGUGGCUGUAAUGUAGGCCGGCAGCCGCUAGGGGUCCAAUCAGAGCUGUAGCCGCUGGCCUACACCACAGCCAUAGCAAAAUGCGAUCCGACCCGUGUCUGCAACCUGCACCACAGCUCACGGCUGUGCCAGAUCCUUAAUACACUGAGUGAGGCCAGAGAUCGAAUCGGUGUCCUCAUGGAUGCUAGCUGGGCUCACUAACCUCUGAGCCACGACGUGAACUCCAUAAACGGCUCCUUUGAGAGGCCAGUUGGACUUCUGGAAACAUCAACCUAGGCUAGACUCUCUGCAGUUUUUCCAGAGGCCGGGAUGGUUCUCUUUGGCUUGGGCCAGAGAAGAAGCUUGGCCCAGCCUCCUGGGCUGUGAAUCAGGGUGGGUGGAUAUGUGGAGGGCAGUGUUACAGGUGUUUUUCAGUCACCCCCAGAACAGAUCGCCUCACUUCCAGGGUUCUCUCAAAACAAAACAAAACAAAACACAACACAAAACACUCCAUUCCCCCUCGUCUGCCCAGGGCAGUGAGAACUGUUGGCAGCCCUUCUCCGUGCCCGGGCCUUCUCCUGUGUGCUUUUCUGCCAGCCUCUGGGGAAGAUGCAUCCCCACCAUCAUUCAUCAUAACCAAAGUUAUCCUUCCAGAGCAGAGCCUGACCGAUGCAGACUACCACUUUCCUUAGAGCUGGAGACCAGGAACGAAGAGUGGCAGAUGAAUGCUAGUUCCUGGGGCCCCAAAGCCAAGCAGCAACCUGCCAUGUGCCUGUCCCACUCUGGGGGUGGGGCAGAAAGGGUGCGACGGGAGUCUUCCCAGUUAUCUGCUUUGGGACUGGAGCACCAAAGAGCCAGCAUCCAUUCUAGCGCAGAAGUGGGGCUUUAUACCCAUGAUUGCUGAUUGCCUGUCGGCUCUGACUAUCCUUUCUUUCCUCUUUCCCCUUUCCCUUCAUCAUUCCUUUCCCCCCUUCUUUCCUGCCAUCCAAUACAUACUGACUGAUUACUUGCUCUGGGCCAGGUCCUGGGCUAGAAAAGGAGUGUCCAGUUCAACAGAGAGAGAGAAUCAGAUGCUGAUGACAGGACAGUUUGAUGCAUGUAUUGACAGGCAUUCUUAUAGGACCUGUCAGAACCCAGAAUUGGGGCUGGGAGGGGGUCACCCAUCCUGACCAGUGUGUGGAGAAGGGGAAGACCCCCGUAGUGAAGCAUCUUGAGGGUUGAGUAGGACUCACCAGCUGGAGGAAGAAGGAGCAGGAUUAGGAUUCUGUGCAUCGGGAGCAGAAGGAAGUCCAGAAGAUGCAUAGCUAUGGCAUAUAUGGAGAGCUCCAGAGGAUCACUUGUUCACUGAGUUUUGGUUCUCUCUCCUAUAAAAUAAGAAUAAUACCAAAGUCAUAGCUGGCACACACAAAACAUCCUUUCUCCCUUUUUUCUCAAUUUAUUUUAUUUUUUUACCAGAAGGUUUUUUGUUUUUGUUUUUGUCUUGUUGUCUUUUUAGGGCCACACUCACAGCAUAUGGAGGUUCCCAGGCUAGGGAUCUAAUUGGAGCUGUAGCCACCGGCCUACACCACAGCCACAGCAAUGCCAGAUCCAAGCCACGUCUGCGACCUACACCACAGCUCAUGGCAACACCAGAUCCUUGACCCACUGAGCACGGCCAGGGAUCGAACCCAUAACCUCAGAGUUCCUAGUCAGAUUCUUUUCCACUGCGCCACGAUGGGAAAUCCCGGAAAGUUUUUUUUUCUUUUUCUUUUAUUUUUUAUUAUUAUUAUUUUUAACAGUUAUUUCCCCAAUACAAAUUUUUUUCCUACUGUACAGCAUGGUGACCCAGUUACACAUACAUGUACACAUUCUAUUUUUGCACAUUAUCAUCCUCCAUCAUAAGUGACUAGACAUAGUUCCCAGGGCUACACAGCCAGAAAGAUUUCAUAUGAAGAAAUAAUGGCAAUGAGAAGUGGCAUGUGCAAAGUGCUGGAGUCAGGGGACAUCUGAUGGAGGGGAUGGAGCUUUUUGGAGGGGGGGCAGUAUUAACUGAGGUUGAUAUUUAGGAUUAGGACAAAUUGGCGCAAUUUGAGCAGAUCCUUGCAGGAUGGGAAAGACUCUGGUGGAAAAGACAGAAAACGGCGUCCUGAAGGGGUCGGUGCGGCAUGAGCAAAGACACAGGUGUGUUCAGGCACAAGAUGAGGUGUGGUAGCAUUUGUUAGGGACAGAAGAGGUGGGGAUGAGACUGGAAAGGUGGGCUGAGACCACUUUGAUGCCUAACUAGGGGGCACACAGGAGACAUUUUGCCUGAAUGUGUGUUUUGUUGGACAUGCACAGCAUAAAAAAAAAAAGAGAGAGAGAGAAAGAAAAGAGUUAAGUCAAUAUUAAAAGAUCAGAUUUUACAUAAAUCUGCAUUCCUGAUGUCAUUCAGAAAAAAAAAAAAAAAUCAGGUCUGGCAACACGAGCCUUGAAUUAAUUCCCACGUGGCCAGAAGGUGAGUGGCCAGAAGACCUGGCCAGAAGGUGAAUGGUGGACAUUCAGGAUGUCCCUGCAGCCCACCGUCACAGGUUGCAUCUCUCCCUGGCCAAUUAGCUUGAAUACUCUCCACCAUUCAAAUCACUCUUGAGUUAAUACAGUAUGUUCAGAAAGCUCCAAAUAAGAUGCUAAUGCAUUACAAGGGAGGAGAAAGAAAAUUCUAAACCAUUAACAUUUUGGUUCCUUUAUUAGAUUCGGGAAUGAAUUUUACAACUCCUUGGGGAAAUUUUAAUUGUGGACUCGCAGUUAGGUGGCAAAAAUGGGAUGCUUGAUGCAUGCUGACUUGAGAAGGAAACUCCAGGAAGUGAAGGGUGGGAGGGGACGCCUGGAAAGCUGGAGUUGAGGGGCCCCGCGGUGAGUCAUUGGAUCCACUGGUCUACACCAUGGAGUCUUUGCUAGGGAUGGACACCCACACACCUGUCCUGGACGAAUCUUUACUGCACUGAAAGACAUUUACCACCUUAUUUUAGUAAACUUUUUGGCUUAAAACAUUGGACUCUUGAAGGACAAGGUGAAAUUCAUGUGGUUUUUUGAUAAAAAAACUAAUGGAAAAGAGAUAAUUUCUUCUACUUUUUCAAUAGCUUUUGGAGUGUCUGUGAGCAGGUGGUCUUUAUAAUUUGAAAUACUCAACAAAACCUACUGGAAAUUUUGUAUUAAUAAGUUAUUAAAAAUAUUAUACCAGUUAGUAGCAAACAUUUAAAGUAACAUAAAAGCCUAUGAAGGAGAAAACUCUACAAACUGUCAAGAAUUGGUAGUUAGAGAAUGGGAGAGUUUAGACUGUAUUAUUCUAGAUUUGGCACAAUAUCCAUAUGAGAUCUAACUAUAUCUUUGUAUAGAUCUAGAUAUAUUCACAUAUAUAUCUGGAGAGAAAAAAAAUUUUUUAAUAAAAAUGAGGUUUCCUGGACUUCCUGUCAUAGCUCAGCGGUAACGAAUCCGACUAGUAUCCCUGAGGACACAGGUUCAAUCCCUGGCCUUGCUCAGUGGGUUAAGGAUCCAGGGUUGCCAUGAGCUGUGAUGUAGGUUGUAGAUGAUGCUUGGAUCUGGCGUUGCUGUGGCUGUGGUGCAGGCUGGCAGCUGCAGCUCCAAUUCAACCCCUAGCCUGGGAACUUCCUUACACCACGGGCAUGGCCCUAAAAAGACAAAAAAUAAAAGAGAGAAGAGAGGUUUCCCAUACUGUUCUGCUACGUUUUUCUCCUAAUGCUCCAUCUUGAACAUAUUGCAGAUCAUUCCAUCACCUCUAGGCCUAAAGAGAGUAAGAGCUGGUUUUGAGUUCCCUCUGUGCUCCUCUGAGCUUCCGUUCUCUGCUCUAUAAAAUAGAGGUAAUGAUUCCUUCCUUCAAAGGUUAGGAUGAGAGUUAACUAGAAUGCAAAUGUGCUCAGCACAGCUUAUUGGAUAUUGGGUGAUCAGAGCCCAUCACACCAUCGAGAAAAUGUCUUUCAUUCCUUGGAUUCCUCAUCCUCCACCCUUGGCCCCCUUGGGAGAGGACGGAUGGGAGGCUGUGGGGAAUGAGGCUGAGUCUGGGGUGAAUCACAGUGUUUCAUAAUGGAGUUUAAAAUCCUCCUUUCAGUGCGGAGUCAUGUUAAAAUCUGAAGCAGCUCAUUAACAGAUGCCGCCCGAUUUUGUUUAGGACACUGUCUCUGGGCUCACUUUUAUUUAUUCAGCUGCAGGAGGAUGCCUGAAGCCAGGUAUGUGGAUAGGAAGGCUGUGACCUGGGCCUGCCCUUCGUGGGGGCGCUCUCUUGCCAGUGGGGGAAAGCCAGCCCCUUUGAGUACAAGGGGGAGUCGUACCUUAUCUUUGCAAAAGGCAUCCCCUCCUGCUACUGAUGUUCCCUUUUCCACUUCUCUCCUUCCCUUCUGCCUUUAGAUGACCAUAUGCUUUUUCAUUUGUAUCACACAUUUUUCACAAAGACCUCUUACUCUCGUUAGCUCAUUGAACCCUCGGACAAGUCAAUAGGUUUCAGUCCGUACAACGUGACAGGUGAAGCAGCAGAGGCCCAGAGGACCUGAGAUAGGAGUCCAACUCACGCAGCAAAAAGUGGACAGAUCUGGAUGUCUUGGCUUGCAAGCCAUGCGAGUCGUGCUGUAUCAGGUUCCCUCCUUUUCUAACUGUUGGCAGGAAGCUCCUGAGAGUGAGGGCUGCGGGAGGGGCCCUCAUUCUGGCCAGUGGGGAAGCCUUUCUGGAAUGCCUGAGGUGGUUGGGCUUGGUGUGCUGGGAGGGACUGGUGAGACCAGAUAAAGGGAUGGGUUUGGAGGUCAUCCCAAGGUCAGUGGAGGGGGCGGCGCAGAGCUGGGGAGAAUGGGCUGGUGCAGAGCCUAGACACCAAAGGGGAGGCCAACCUUUGUCACCAUUGGUAGGUUGGUGGGUGUUUCCAACAUUCGGUAUCAUUUUUGAUGUUUGGCUCCCCCUUUUUUUUGCCUCAAUCAGUAGCACACCAUAAAUCCUCUUCCUGUUUCCCACAGAGGACCCCUCUCCUAAUUCAGCUUGCAUCUCCCUCACCCUCUAUAAUCACAUCCAACGAAUCAAAACCUAUCUAUUCUGUUUAGAGCUAUUCAGAUACACUCAUAUGCUUAAAUGAGCAUACUGGCUGGAUACAUUUAUUUAGCUCGUUUAAUAUCACAGUAGCCUUAUGGACCAGCUCUUCCCAACAGAAAUAUAAUGUGGGAGUUCCCGUCGUGGCGCAGUGGUUAACGAAUCCGACUAGGAACCAUGAGGUUGCGGGUUCGAUCCCUGCCCUUGCUCAGUGGGUUAACGAUCCGGCGUUGCUGUGAGCUGUGGUGCAGGUUGCAGACGCGGCUCAGAUCCUGCGUUGCUGUGGCUCUGGUGUAGGCCAGUGGCUACAGCUCCAAUUAGACCCCUAGCCUGGGAACCUCCAUAUGCAUUGGGAGCGGCCCAAGAAAUGGCAAAAAGACAAAAAAGACAAAAAAAAAAAAAAAAAAAG